UGUGAGUCAAUGUUGCAGAGAAAUCCAUUUGUAACAAUACAGAGAAGUUUAGAACAGCCCUUGUGCAAGGAUGACAUGCAAAUUUGAGAAGUGUUUCAUAUUUUU
This 105-nucleotide small nuclear RNA is filed under the name Castor canadensis (American beaver). Lineage: Eukaryota; Metazoa; Chordata; Mammalia; Rodentia; Castoridae. The record is from RNAcentral.